UGACAGGCUGGCACCUACACUCACCUGGCCACACUUACAUGGCAUCCAAGGACCCAAACUCUGGUUCUCACACUUGGGCCACGAAGCUUUAACGGCUGAACAAGCAUCUACCCCAGGCCUCAACUAAAAGGCAAUAUGGACAGGAAGCUGUGCUGUAGACAGCCGGGUUAAAGAAUGAAAAGACACGGAGAGAAACCCUCGUAGAAAGAGACAGAGUCCACAGCAUAGGGAGCAUGCAGAAGCUUGGCUGUGGCUGCAAGAGGGCCGAAGCAGGAGCAGCAGAUGGAGUCCAUCCACCGAGCUGUCUGCAUGUCUGGAAGGGGACUGUCCAUCCACCAGGCUGUCUGCAUGUCUGGAAGGGAGCUCCAGGGAUGUAACUUUCAUAGAUCAUCACAUGUGCUGGAGUGAACUUUUCAGUGAUGCAACAGCCUUUGAGUCACCCUGUUCCUCUCACCCACCACCCUGUAAUAACCUCAAUAAAGACACUGGUUCACUACAAUA
Molecule: long non-coding RNA, 501 nt
Filed under: Cricetulus griseus (Chinese hamster)
Lineage: Eukaryota; Metazoa; Chordata; Mammalia; Rodentia; Cricetidae
Description: lncRNA (ENSCGRG00015041413.1)
Source: RNAcentral